Molecule: ribosomal RNA, 857 nt
Filed under: Vibrio sp.
Lineage: Bacteria; Pseudomonadati; Pseudomonadota; Gammaproteobacteria; Vibrionales; Vibrionaceae
Description: bacterial SSU rRNA
Rfam family: Bacterial small subunit ribosomal RNA
Source: RNAcentral
AUUGGGCGGCGAGCGGCGGACGGGUGAGUAAUGCCUAGGAAAUUGCCCUGAUGUGGGGGAUAACCAUUGGAAACGAUGGCUAAUACCGCAUGAUGCCUACGGGCCAAAGAGGGGGACCUUCGGGCCUCUCGCGUCAGGAUAUGCCUAGGUGGGAUUAGCUAGUUGGUGAGGUAAGGGCUCACCAAGGCGACGAUCCCUAGCUGGUCUGAGAGGAUGAUCAGCCACACUGGAACUGAGACACGGUCCAGACUCCUACGGGAGGCAGCAGUGGGGAAUAUUGCACAAUGGGCGCAAGCCUGAUGCAGCCAUGCCGCGUGUAUGAAGAAGGCCUUCGGGUUGUAAAGUACUUUCAGUAGGGAGGAAGGUUCAUGCGUUAAUAGCGUAUGGAUUUGACGUUACCUACAGAAGAAGCACCGGCUAACUCCGUGCCAGCAGCCGCGGUAAUACGGAGGGUGCGAGCGUUAAUCGGAAUUACUGGGCGUAAAGCGCAUGCAGGUGGUUAGUUAAGUCAGAUGUGAAAGCCCGGGGCUCAACCUCGGAAUUGCAUUUGAAACUGGCUGACUAGAGUACUGUAGAGGGGGGUAGAAUUUCAGGUGUAGCGGUGAAAUGCGUAGAGAUCUGAAGGAAUACCGGUGGCGAAGGCGGCCCCCUGGACAGAUACUGACACUCAGAUGCGAAAGCGUGGGGAGCAAACAGGAUUACAUACCCUGGUAGUCCACGCCGUAAACGAUGUCUACUUGGAGGUUGUGGCCUUGAUCCGUGGCUUUCGGAGCUAACGCGUUAAUUAGACCGCCUGCGGAGUACGGUCGCCCGAUUAUAACUCAAAUGAAUUGACUGGGGCCCGCACAAGCGUUGGA